RNAcentral lists this ribosomal RNA (471 nucleotides) under uncultured bacterium. RNAcentral's name for it is "bacterial SSU rRNA". It matches the Rfam family "Bacterial small subunit ribosomal RNA", at positions 28 to 496 of the family's 1533-position model. The record is from RNAcentral.
GAUGAACGCUAGCGGCAGGCUUAAUACAUGCAAGUCGAGGGGCAGCACGAAUAGCAAUAUUUGGUGGCGACCGGCGCACGGGUGCGUAACACGUAUACAACCUACCUAUAACAGGGGGAUAGCCUUUCGAAAGAGAGAUUAAUACCCCGUAAUAAAUUGAGUGGCAUCACUUGAUUUUGAAAGCUACGGCGGUUAUAGAUGGGUAUGCGUCUGAUUAGCUAGUUGGUGAGGUAACGGCUCACCAAGGCGACGAUCAGUAGGGGAUCUGAGAGGACUAACCCCCACACUGGUACUGAGACACGGACCAGACUCCUACGGGAGGCAGCAGUAAGGAAUAUUGGUCAAUGGAGGCAACUCUGAACCAGCCAUGCCGCGUGCAGGAUACGGCCCUAUGGGUUGUAAACUGCUUUUGUACCAGAGAAAACCUACUCACGUGUGAGUAGCUGAUAGUAUGGUAAGAAUAAGCAUCGG